GUCCACGCUGUAAACGAUGGGCACUAGGUGUCGCGGGUAUUGACCCCUGCGGUGCCGCAGCUAACGCAUUAAGUGCCCCGCCUGGGGAAUACGGCCGCAAGGUUAAACUCAAAGGAAUUGACGGGGCCCGCACAAGCGGUGGAGCAUGUGGUUCAAUUCGACGCAACGCGAAGAACCUUACCCGGGUUAGACAACAGAGGACACCCUUAGAAAUAAGGUCUCCCCUUCGGGGGCCUCUGGUUCAGGUGCUGCAUGGCUGUCGU
This 263-nucleotide ribosomal RNA is filed under the name uncultured bacterium. RNAcentral describes it as "partial 16S ribosomal RNA". It matches the Rfam family "Bacterial small subunit ribosomal RNA", at positions 793 to 1055 of the family's 1533-position model. The record is from RNAcentral.